Molecule: ribosomal RNA, 500 nt
Filed under: Pantoea sp.
Lineage: Bacteria; Pseudomonadati; Pseudomonadota; Gammaproteobacteria; Enterobacterales; Erwiniaceae
Description: bacterial SSU rRNA
Rfam family: Bacterial small subunit ribosomal RNA
Source: RNAcentral
UGCUUGGGGCAGCUACACAUGCAAGUCGACGGCAGCACAGAAGAGCUUGCUCUUUGGGUGGCGAGUGGCGGACGGGUGAGUAAUGUCUGGGAAACUGCCCGAUGGAGGGGGAUAACUACUGGAAACGGUAGCUAAUACCGCAUAACGUCGCAAGACCAAAGUGGGGGACCUUCGGGCCUCACACCAUCGGAUGUGCCCAGAUGGGAUUAGCUAGUAGGUGGGGUAAUGGCUCACCUAGGCGACGAUCCCUAGCUGGUCUGAGAGGAUGACCAGCCACACUGGAACUGAGACACGGUCCAGACUCCUACGGGAGGCAGCAGUGGGGAAUAUUGCACAAUGGGCGCAAGCCUGAUGCAGCCAUGCCGCGUGUAUGAAGAAGGCCUUCGGGUUGUAAAGUACUUUCAGCGGGGAGGAAGGCGGUGAGGUUAAUAACCUCGCCGAUUGACGUUACCCGCAGAAGAAGCACCGGCUAACUCCGUGCCAGCAGCCGCGGUAAUUAA